AUCGCUUCUCGGCCUUUUGGCUAAGAUCAAGUGUAAUAUUUUCUUUCAUCCAAGGGUUAUCUAGAAGUAUGUUCAUUCAUUUCCCAGAAGAUUAAAACUUUUACUUUGAAAAUUACUGAGGUUUUUUUCUUUUUAGAGAUCAAGAAUAACACAA
RNAcentral lists this small nuclear RNA (154 nucleotides) under Fukomys damarensis (Damara mole-rat). Its description in RNAcentral is "U2 spliceosomal RNA". It matches the Rfam family "U2 spliceosomal RNA". Rfam says of the family: U2 is a small nuclear RNA (snRNA) component of the spliceosome (involved in pre-mRNA splicing). Complementary binding between U2 snRNA (in an area lying towards the 5' end but 3' to hairpin I) and the branchpoint sequence (BPS) of the intron results the bulging out of an unpaired adenosine, on the BPS, which initiates a nucleophilic attack at the intronic 5' splice site, thus starting the first of two transesterification reactions that mediate splicing. The record is from Rfam by way of RNAcentral. Lineage: Eukaryota; Metazoa; Chordata; Mammalia; Rodentia; Bathyergidae.